This 396-nucleotide ribosomal RNA is filed under the name uncultured Wolinella sp. Its description in RNAcentral is "bacterial SSU rRNA". It matches the Rfam family "Bacterial small subunit ribosomal RNA", at positions 386 to 774 of the family's 1533-position model. The record is from RNAcentral. Lineage: Bacteria; Pseudomonadati; Campylobacterota; Epsilonproteobacteria; Campylobacterales; Helicobacteraceae.
ACGCAGCGACGCCGCGUGAGGGAUGAAGGUUUUCGGAUCGUAAACCUCUGUCAGAAGGGAAGAAACCGCACCGUGCUAAUCAGUGGUGCCUUGACGGUACCUUCAAAGGAAGCACCGGCUAACUCCGUGCCAGCAGCCGCGGUAAUACGGAGGGUGCAAGCGUUACUCGGAAUCACUGGGCGUAAAGAGCACGUAGGCGGCCUUGCAAGUCAGAUGUGAAAUCCAACGGCUUAACCGUUGAACUGCAUUUGAAACUGCAAGGCUAGAGUAUGGGAGAGGUAGGUGGAAUUCUCGGUGUAGGGGUAAAAUCCGUAGAGAUCGAGAGGAAUACUCAUUGCGAAGGCGACCUGCUGGAACAUUACUGCCGCUGAGGUGCGAAAGCGUGGGGAGCAAACA